RNAcentral lists this ribosomal RNA (254 nucleotides) under uncultured bacterium. RNAcentral describes it as "partial 16S ribosomal RNA". It matches the Rfam family "Bacterial small subunit ribosomal RNA", at positions 524 to 777 of the family's 1533-position model. The record is from RNAcentral.
UACGUAGGUGGCGAGCGUUGUCCGGAAUUACUGGGUGUAAAGCGCGUGUAGGCGGGAGGCCAAGUCUGUGGUGAAAUCGCUCGGCUUAACUGGGCGGGGUCCAUGGAAACUGGUCACCUGGAGGUCGGUAGAGGCAAGUGGAAUUCCCGGUGUAGUGGUGAAAUGCGUAGAGAUCGGGAGGAACACCAGUGGCGAAGGCGACUACCUGGCCUGUUCUUGACGCUGAGGCGCGAAAGCUAGGGGAGCAAACGGGG